GACGAACGCUGGCGGCGUGCCUAAUACAUGCAAGUUGAGCGCUGAAGGUUGGUUCUUGUACCAACUGGAUGAGCAGCGCACGGGUGAGUAACGCGUGGAGAAUCUGCCUUUGAGCGGGGGACAACAUUUGGAAACGAAUGCUAAUACCGCAUAAAAACUUUAAACACAAGUUUUAAGUUUGACAGAUGCAAUUGCAUCACUCAAAGAUGAUCCCGCGUUGUAUUAGCUAGUUGGUGAGGUAAAGGCUCACCAAGGCGAUGAUACAUAGCCGACCUGAGAGGAUGAUCGGCCACAUUGGGACGGAGACACGGCCCAAACUCCGGCGGGAGGCAGCAGUAGGGAAGCUUCGGCAAUGGACGAAAGUCUGACCGAGCAACGCCGCGUGAGUGAAGAAGGUUUUCGGAUCGUAAAACUCUGUUGGUAGAGAAGAGCGUUGGUGAGAGUGGAAAGCUCAUCAAGUGACGGUAACUACCCAGAAAGGGACGGCUAACUACGUG
Molecule: ribosomal RNA, 497 nt
Filed under: uncultured bacterium
Lineage: Bacteria
Description: partial 16S ribosomal RNA
Rfam family: Bacterial small subunit ribosomal RNA
Source: RNAcentral